RNAcentral lists this ribosomal RNA (274 nucleotides) under uncultured bacterium. RNAcentral describes it as "partial 16S ribosomal RNA". It matches the Rfam family "Bacterial small subunit ribosomal RNA", at positions 523 to 796 of the family's 1533-position model. The record is from RNAcentral.
AUACGGGGGGGGCGAGCGUUGUCCGGAAUUAUUGGGCGUAAAGGGCGCGUAGGCGGAAUGAUAAGUCAGAGGUGAAAACUCAGGGCUCAACCCUGAGCCUGCCUUUGAUACUGUCAUUCUUGAGUGCGAGAGAGGAAAGCGGAAUUCCCGGUGUAGCGGUGAAAUGCGUAGAUAUCGGGAAGAACACCGGUAGCGAAGGCGGCUUUCUGGCUCGCAACUGACGCUGAGGCGCGAAAGCGUGGGGAGCAAACAGUAUUAGAAACCCCGGUAGUCC